AUUGAACGCUGGCGGCGUGCUUAACACAUGCAAGUCGUGCGGUAACAGGCGUAGCAAUACGUGCUGACGAGCGGCGAACGGGUGCGUAAUACAUGGGAAUCUGCCCUUUAGUGGGGAAUAACCCGGCGAAAGCCGGGCUAAUGCCGCAUAAGAUCUUCGGAUGAAAGCGGGGGAUCGUAAGACCUCGCGCUGAUGGAUGAGCCCAUGUCGGAUUAGCAGUUGGUGAGGUAACGGCUCACCAAGGCGACGAUCCGUAGCUGGUCUGAGAGGACGGCCAGCCACACUGGGACUGAGACACGGCCCAGACUCCUACGGGAGGCAGCAGUGGGAAUAUUGGACAAUGGGCGAAAGCCUGAUCCAGCGACGCCGCGUGUGUGAAGAAGGCCUGC
RNAcentral lists this ribosomal RNA (389 nucleotides) under uncultured bacterium. Its description in RNAcentral is "bacterial SSU rRNA". It matches the Rfam family "Bacterial small subunit ribosomal RNA", at positions 30 to 419 of the family's 1533-position model. The record is from RNAcentral.